CCCCAUGAAUUGGAGAAGAAGAGUAGGAGGAGGCUUUGGAGGAGGGUUCUGACUGUGAUCAGCCUGUUUCAGCCCACAGUAAGCCUGGAGCAGCCUGCAGAGCAAGCGCGUUCACAGGAUGCCCUGGAGGAAUAUCCUCAGAGGACCUUUUUGGUAGUAAACUCAACAAACCUACAGUGAUGGAAGCAGAAGAGCCUCAACCCAGACUUUCUGUCGAUGAAGUGCCACAUCUCUUGGACUAGGUCUAGUUUCCUCUACAGCAGCAAGACCAGAGGAGAGUCAGUGCUUCAGACCGGACCCCAUCUGCAUUUCAACAGUGGGAGGGGAAACAUGUGGCACAAGCUCUCCCUUCCAGCAGGUUAGGUUCCUGUGCAAUAUCUGGUAACAGCGGCAGUGGACAUUUUUCUAACCAAAAUAUAAAUACGCUGUGUCUAUGUUUAUGACAGUGGACAUUCCAGCGAUGUUUUGUUGUUAAUUGGGCCAAAUCUCCAGGCCGCAAAUUGGCAUAAAUCCACUGAAACCAAAGGAGCAGCACCGAGUCACAUUAAUUAAGAAACUUGCCAAAUGACCAGCCAAAUUGUUACCUUCUGUACAUCAUCAUAUAAGAGAAACAUGUUCUGUUUUUAAAGAAAGACCUGAAAAGAAAGAUGGUCAUAUCAAUGAAGAGGAAAAUGCAGACACCAUGAGAAGCACAGGCCUACAGAACAAGUGGAUUAGUGGGAAUUGAUGUCCAUCAAUAUGAUUCAUAUGAUCAAUAAAAGGAGAGUAUAAAGGCAACUUGUCCCAUCCUUGGCCCAUCUUGGAGGAGCUGAAUGGAUUAUAACACGGGGAAAUCAUCAUGCAGUAGAUCAAGGAGUAACCAAAAAGCUGAUGCUGACAAUAAAUGUGCAGCUAUAGCAGGCAUCUGUGUGCAUAUGCAUACAUGCGUUCGUUUGCUUUGGAUAACAAAAAUUCAAGCGUAGAGCAGAUUCACUGCAAUAGAAAAUAAAACAGAACAGAUGGAGAGACUUCUGCCAGGCUAGAACUGAAGCAGGGGAAUAAAUCCUAUGUCUCCUACUCAAGAUACCUUAGUUCCCCAAGUAGAAAUGAACCACUGCAUUUCAGACAGUAAAGACUUUGAAAGGCAGCCAAGUGUGAUGUAGCCAUGUUGAUCCUGGAGAGACUAUAAUGAUCUGAGGCAUGAGCCAAAGCACAAUGAAGAAAAAUGGGGUCUUUGAGUUGUCACCAGUGGGCUUUUGCAUACAGGUACAACUUAUUAGAUGUCCUGAUAUAAAGACAGUUGGGGACUCUUUCCACUGAUUUCUACGGGCUUUGGGUUGGACACUUCGGGCUUCAUUCCUACAACAUUAGUUGUUUUUUUUAAGUUCAAUUAAUCAACAUUUUAAUAAGA
Molecule: long non-coding RNA, 1390 nt
Organism: Alligator mississippiensis (American alligator)
Lineage: Eukaryota; Metazoa; Chordata; Crocodylia; Alligatoridae
Exons: 2
Source: RefSeq, a predicted model, not a curated record